AGUCACUGACAUUAGAUACCCGUGUAGUCCAGGGUGUAAACGCUGCAGACUUGGUGUUGGGAACCCUUCGGGGGUGCUCAGUGCCGGAGAGAAGUUGUUAAGUCUGCUACUUGGGGAGUACGUCCGCAAGGAUGAAACUUAAAGGAAUUGGCGGGGGAGCACCGCAACGGGAGGAGCGUGCGGUUUAAUUGGAUUCAACGCCGGACAACUCACCAGGAGCGACGGUUACAUGAAGGCCAGGCUGAUGACCUUGCCUGAUUUUCCG
RNAcentral lists this ribosomal RNA (265 nucleotides) under uncultured archaeon. Its description in RNAcentral is "partial 16S ribosomal RNA". It matches the Rfam family "Archaeal small subunit ribosomal RNA", at positions 717 to 982 of the family's 1478-position model. The record is from RNAcentral.